Molecule: ribosomal RNA, 253 nt
Filed under: uncultured bacterium
Lineage: Bacteria
Description: partial 16S ribosomal RNA
Rfam family: Bacterial small subunit ribosomal RNA
Source: RNAcentral
UACGGAGGAUGCAAGCGUUAUCCGGAAUGAUUGGGCGUAAAGCGUCCGCAGGUGGCUAUGUAAGUCUGCUGUUAAAGAGUGAGGCUCAACCUCAUAAGAGCAGUGGAAACUACAUGGCUAGAGUGCGUUCGGGGCAGAGGGAAUUCCUGGUGUAGCGGUGAAAUGCGUAGAGAUCAGGAAGACACCGGCUGGCGAAAGCGCUCUGCUAGGCCGCAACUGACACUCAUGGACGAAAGCUAGGGGAGCGAAUGGG